CGUCACACUAUCAUUAACUGAAUCCAUAGGUUAAUGAGGCGAACCGGGGGAACUGAAACAUCUAAGUACCCCGAGGAAAAGAAAUCAACCGAGAUUCCCCCAGUAGCGGCGAGCGAACGGGGAGGAGCCCAGAGCCUGAAUCAGCAUGUGUGUUAGUGGAAGCGUCUGGAAAGGCGCGCGAUACAGGGUGACAGCCCCGUACACAAAAGCGCAUGUGCUGUGAGCUCGAUGAGUAGGGCGGGACACGUGGUAUCCUGUCUGAAUAUGGGGGGACCAUCCUCCAAGGCUAAAUACUCCUGACUGACCGAUAGUGAACCAGUACCGUGAGGGAAAGGCGAAAAGAACCCCGGCGAGGGGAGUGAAAAAGAACCUGAAACCGUGUACGUACAAGCAGUGGGAGCACCCUUUGGGUGUGACUGCGUACCUUUUGUAUAAUGGGUCAGCGACUUAUAUUCUGUAGCAAGGUUAACCGAAUAGGGGAGCCGGAGGGAAACCGAGUCUUAACCGGGCGUUAAGUUGCAGGGUAUAGACCCGAAACCCGGUGAUCUAGCCAUGGGCAGGUUGAAGGUUGGGUAACACUAACUGGAGGACCGAACCGACUAAUGUUGAAAAAUUAGCGGAUGACCUGUGGCUGGGGGUGAAAGGCCAAUCAAACCGGGAGAUAGCUGGUUCUCCCCGAAAGCUAUUUAGGUAGCGCCUCGUGAAUUCAUCUCCGGGGGUAGAGCACUGUUUCGGCUAGGGGGCCAUCCCGGCUUACCAACCCGAUGCAAACUGCGAAUACCGGAGAAUGUUAUCACGGGAGACACACGGCGGGUGCUAACGUCCGUCGUGAAGAGGGAAACAACCCAGACCGCCAGCUAAGGUCCCAAAGUCAUGGUUAAGUGGGAAACGAUGUGGGAAGGCCCAGACAGCCAGGAUGUUGGCUUAGAAGCAGCCAUCAUUUAAAGAAAGCGUAAUAGCUCACUGGUCGAGUCGGCCUGCGCGGAAGAUGUAACGGGGCUAAACCAUGCACCGAAGCUGCGGCAGCGACACUGUGUGUUGUUGGGUAGGGGAGCGUUCUGUAAGCCUGUGAAGGUGUGUCGUGAGGCAUGCUGGAGGUAUCAGAAGUGCGAAUGCUGACAUAAGUAACGAUAAAGCGGGUGAAAAGCCCGCUCGCCGGAAGACCAAGGGUUCCUGUCCAACGUUAAUCGGGGCAGGGUGAGUCGACCCCUAAGGCGAGGCCGAAAGGCGUAGUCGAUGGGAAACGGGUUAAUAUUCCCGUACUUGGUGUUACUGCGAAGGGGGGACGGAGAAGGCUAUGUUGGCCGGGCGACGGUUGUCCCGGUUUAAGCGUGUAGGUGUGUGUUCCAGGUAAAUCCGGUUCACUUUAACACUGAGGCGUGACGACGAGGCACUACGGUGCUGAAGCAACAAAUGCCCUGCUUCCAGGAAAAGCCUCUAAGCAUCAGGUAACAUCAAAUCGUACCCCAAACCGACACAGGUGGUCAGGUAGAGAAUACCAAGGCGCUUGAGAGAACUCGGGUGAAGGAACUAGGCAAAAUGGUGCCGUAACUUCGGGAGAAGGCACGCUGACACGUAGGUGAAGUGAUUUACUCAUGGAGCUGAAGUCAGUCGAAGAUACCAGCUGGCUGCAACUGUUUAUUAAAAACACAGCACUGUGCAAACACGAAAGUGGACGUAUACGGUGUGACGCCUGCCCGGUGCCGGAAGGUUAAUUGAUGGGGUCAGCGCAAGCGAAGCUCCUGAUCGAAGCCCCGGUAAACGGCGGCCGUAACUAUAACGGUCCUAAGGUAGCGAAAUUCCUUGUCGGGUAAGUUCCGACCUGCACGAAUGGCGUAAUGAUGGCCAGGCUGUCUCCACCCGAGACUCAGUGAAAUUGAACUCGCUGUGAAGAUGCAGUGUACCCGCGGCAAGACGGAAAGACCCCGUGAACCUUUACUAUAGCUUGACACUGAACAUUGAGCCUUGAUGUGUAGGAUAGGUGGGAGGCUUUGAAGUGUGGACGCCAGUCUGCAUGGAGCCGACCUUGAAAUACCACCCUUUAAUGUUUGAUGUUCUAACGUGGACCCGUUACCCGGGUUGCGGACAGUGUCUGGUGGGUAGUUUGACUGGGGCGGUCUCCUCCUAAAGAGUAACGGAGGAGCACGAAGGUUGGCUAAUCCUGGUCGGACAUCAGGAGGUUAGUGCAAUGGCAUAAGCCAGCUUGACUGCGAGCGUGACGGCGCGAGCAGGUGCGAAAGCAGGUCAUAGUGAUCCGGUGGUUCUGAAUGGAAGGGCCAUCGCUCAACGGAUAAAAGGUACUCCGGGGAUAACAGGCUGAUACCGCCCAAGAGUUCAUAUCGACGGCGGUGUUUGGCACCUCGAUGUCGGCUCAUCACAUCCUGGGGCUGAAGUAGGUCCCAAGGGUAUGGCUGUUCGCCAUUUAAAGUGGUACGCGAGCUGGGUUUAGAACGUCGUGAGACAGUUCGGUCCCUAUCUGCCGUGGGCGCUGGAGAACUGAGGGGGGCUGCUCCUAGUACGAGAGGACCGGAGUGGACGCAUCACUGGUGUUCGGGUUGUCAUGCCAAUGGCACUGCCCGGUAGCUAAAUGCGGAAGAGAUAAGUGCUGAAAGCAUCUAAGCACGAAACUUGCCCCGAGAUGAGUUCUCCCUGAGACUUUAGGUCUCCUGAA
RNAcentral lists this ribosomal RNA (2671 nucleotides) under Salmonella enterica subsp. enterica serovar Enteritidis. RNAcentral describes it as "partial 23S ribosomal RNA". It matches the Rfam family "Bacterial large subunit ribosomal RNA". Lineage: Bacteria; Pseudomonadati; Pseudomonadota; Gammaproteobacteria; Enterobacterales; Enterobacteriaceae. The record is from RNAcentral.